Molecule: small RNA, 144 nt
Filed under: Flavobacterium sp. KMS
Lineage: Bacteria; Pseudomonadati; Bacteroidota; Flavobacteriia; Flavobacteriales; Flavobacteriaceae
Description: Flavo-1 RNA
Rfam family: Flavo-1 RNA
Source: Rfam by way of RNAcentral
GACUACCCCAGAUUGUAGUGGAAAGCAUUUUGAGAGGAAAACCACUUUUUUGUUACUGUAAAAAAGCGACCAGCGGAAGCUCUUUUUAUAGUAUUACAAAAAAGGUUUUACCGAAAAAUCUUGAAACGAAAAGCUGGAAAUAGG